UAGGGAAUCUUCGGCAAUGGGGGGAACCCUGACCGAGCAACGCCGCGUGAGUGAAGAAGGUUUUCGGAUCGUAAAGCUCUGUUGUUAAGGAAGAACGAGUGUGAGAAUGGAAAGUUCAUACUGUGACGGUACUUAACCAGAAAGGGACGGCUAACUACGUGCCAGCAGCCGCGGUAAUACGUAGGUCCCGAGCGUUGUCCGGAUUUAUUGGGCGUAAAGCGAGCGCAGGCGGUUAGAUAAGUCUGAAGUCAAAGGCAGUGGCUCAACCAUUGUAGGCUUUGGAAACUGUUUAACUUGAGUGCAGAAGGGGAGAGUGGAAUUCCAUGUGUAGCGGUGAAAUGCGUAGAUAUAUGGAGGAACACCGGUGGCGAAAGCGGCUCUCUGGUCUGUAACUGACGCUGAGGCUCGAAAGCGUGGGGAGCGAACAGG
RNAcentral lists this ribosomal RNA (429 nucleotides) under Bacteroidota bacterium. Its description in RNAcentral is "Bacteroidetes bacterium partial 16S ribosomal RNA". It matches the Rfam family "Bacterial small subunit ribosomal RNA", at positions 355 to 776 of the family's 1533-position model. Lineage: Bacteria; Pseudomonadati; Bacteroidota. The record is from RNAcentral.